GUGGGACCCAACGCUUUACAUAAGAUCCGACAAGAUGUCGGAGUUGUGUUUCAGUGUGAUCUGGCUGUCCCACGUGUUCACUCUGACUUGUGCCACACGCACUGACCAAGUGCGUUAUAUCCACGCGCGCAUGUUUAUUUGUAAUCAUUUACCCCUCAACGAAAAAGAGAGUCCGCAAAGCAUGAUGAUUGAUGAUCAAUCAUUUAUUAGUGAUCCUCCAAUAGCUUUUAUGUAAGUAUUGGCAAAAACAUCGAGUG
Molecule: long non-coding RNA, 257 nt
Organism: Arabidopsis thaliana (thale cress)
Lineage: Eukaryota; Viridiplantae; Streptophyta; Magnoliopsida; Brassicales; Brassicaceae
Product: other RNA
Exons: 1
Source: RefSeq